This 118-nucleotide non-coding RNA is filed under the name Roseburia sp. CAG:100. Its description in RNAcentral is "SAM riboswitch aptamer (S box leader)". It matches the Rfam family "SAM riboswitch aptamer (S box leader)". From Rfam's summary of the family: The SAM riboswitch is found upstream of a number of genes which code for proteins involved in methionine or cysteine biosynthesis in Gram-positive bacteria. The SAM riboswitch acts at the level of transcription termination control. Lineage: Bacteria; Bacillati; Bacillota; Clostridia; Lachnospirales; Lachnospiraceae. RNAcentral also lists the same sequence under 1 other name. The record is from Rfam by way of RNAcentral.
CUCUUAUUCAGAGUGGUGGAGAUACAAAGGAUCUAUGAAGCCACGGCAACCCCCGAAAGAGGAAGGUGCCAACCUGAGCGAGUAAUUCUGCCGGAAAUGGCAGGUCGAACAAUAAGAG